AAAUCCAUCACUUUUUGCAAAAAAAAAAAAAAAAAACAAGAUAGCAGCCGCCCCAUUUCCAUCUUUUGAUCAUCAACAAAACCAUCUGCCACCAGUUACCAUGUUUUUCUACUCCGAUCUGUCAUGCUCCUUUUUCUCCAACAUCAAAUCCAGUCCAACCGAAGUUAUCUUCUCUGCAAGCCUUCAUAAUAGCAACACCACAGAGCUGCCAUUCUCCAAGUCUUUGCAACAAUAUAAACACAAAAUUGCGCCACGACACAAUCGUUUUGCUCUGCAUUAUGAAUGGUUAUAGCAGCUGCUUCCUCAAAAAUUUGUCUUGAUCUGUCCUCACAAAAAUCAGACCCAAUCAACCUGAAAAAAAUCACAAAACCACCCGAGAUUCUAGCCAAAGAAAACCCAAAAAUCAACCCAAGAAAAAACUAGAAAUCACAACUUGAUUACCACCUAAAAAGCCAUUGUUUUUGUAUGUCAGCUGCACUUGUAACACACGCCCUAUCCACCCCACAGUAGCUCAUUCAGCCCGCACCAACACUGCUCUACCUCUUUCCGGUUCAUUUCUGAUAGUUGUAGAAGGUCAAUUUCGUGUCCAAAAUGAAUUUGUUUGUUUUGUAUAAUUUUUAGCAUGAUUUUAUUGAUUUUAUGUGAACAUGGUUGAUUGGUAUGUAUGGA
This 669-nucleotide long non-coding RNA is filed under the name Populus trichocarpa (black cottonwood). Its description in RNAcentral is "long non-coding RNA (PTRI_LNC003111)". The record is from RNAcentral. Lineage: Eukaryota; Viridiplantae; Streptophyta; Magnoliopsida; Malpighiales; Salicaceae.